GUGAGUCAUCGAGUCUUUGAACGCACCUUGCGCUCCUUGGUAUUCCUUGGAGCAUGCCUGUCUGAGAGUCUUGAAUAUCUCUGCUUUUGCCUUUCUUAACAAAAAGGUAACAAGUCAGGUCCUUGGGUCUGCUUGCGGUUUGUUACGUUACGAACACAAGCUUACCUUAAAUGAAUUAGCUGGACUUCAGCAGAGUUGUUAAGUAACAUUGAAAACUCUCGUAAUAUGAAGUCUGCUCUCUAAUCAUUCUCUUUCGAGAGAAUACUUUCUAUUUUGGCCUCAAAUCAGGUAGGACUACCCGCUGAACUUAA
This 311-nucleotide ribosomal RNA is filed under the name uncultured fungus. RNAcentral's name for it is "eukaryotic LSU rRNA". The stretch from base 1 to 71 matches the Rfam family "5.8S ribosomal RNA", at positions 84 to 154 of the family's 154-position model. The record is from RNAcentral. Lineage: Eukaryota; Fungi.